UUUCAUCCUAGUUGGGGAGACAGGCAGAUGGAUGUGGGCCAGCUCAUCCCACAAGGAACUUUUGCGUAAGAUGCUGACUACAGCAAUGAAGAGGAGGAACAGAUUGCUAAGAGAGCACACAGCAGGAAAGGUGACUUGUCUGCAGGAGUAGCUGAGGUGCCCUUGGCUUUGCUGCUUAACCUCCCAGAGCCUCACCUGCGGAAUGGGCACACUGCCAUUGGCUUCAUGAGGCUGCUGUGAGACGUGGGGAAACUAAUGGAUGUGGAAAAGCACUUUGACAAGUGUUGGCUGCUCCCAUAACUCUCCUGGGUCCCUCGUAAUCCGGCACCAGCUCCAUGUUCUGCCCUCUCUUCUGGAGAAACCGAUUUAACAGUCCAACCUUGCCUGGACAAACAGAGGAAAACCCAUUCCAAAAACAACUGGCCUGAAAACCAUUUUCUUGGGAGGGAGGUGGAGAAUUGACGUGCAUCCAGAUCCUUCGGCGGGGUCUUAUUGCUGAAAGCAGCGUCCUGCCGUGGCCUGGAAAGAGCACGCGUGGGGGACAAGUUCCGAUCUCCCUUCCAUGUGUGCUGCAUACCGAACACCACUCUGCCCUCUGGCCACAGCUUCUCAAAUGCUCUGUCUACAGAGACAUAUUUAAAAGACUCAGGAAAUGAACUCACAUUUUUUUCCCUCCCCCUCCUUUUCCAGAACAGUGCAGCCUUCCUGGAAGAAAGCAAACAAAACAAGUGUGACUGUUUAAAAAAUUAUUGGAAAACCCGUUCCGAACACUCCAGCUUUGAGUGGCUCUCCUGGGCGGAGGACGCGUCACCUGCUGCUUCCUUCUCCCCUCACCCGGAGGGUGUAUCUGUGGGGAAGGGGCGGGGCAGCCGUGUGGCCUUGAAGGAGGAGGGAGCUGAAGGGCCUUAGCAGGCCCCAUGACCAGGCCCCCUCCCACACCCGUGUGCACCUGAAACGCACAGACAGAUGGGAGCCCACGUGUGUGCCCCUGAAAUCAGAGAAUUCUCUCCCUCCCAAGUGCAGCCGACUUCUGCCCUGCGUGCGGCCAUCUGGUCAGAGUGCUUUUCCUUUGAUGAGGGAAAAACCUUUGCUGUGUUUCAACUGGAACGCUGCCUCCCAAUUAAGGUGACAGCAGAUGCCGAAUGGCCCCGUCUUUGCAGGAAGAGGAUGCUCAGCCAGGCUCUAAAGCGCCGGCUCUGUCCGGGAGGGAGCCGGCCUCGUAUUGAUUGUGCUUUGGCAUGCCGAGCAGGCUCCGACUCGAAGGGACUCGGCCAGGAAAGCCACCGUCAGGUGUUUACCGGCUGGGCUGGCUCCGCGCUCAGGUUUUCCAUUGUCAGGCGGUGACAGCGAUGCGUUACAGACACCCUCAGGAGACGUUCCUCUGCUUUCAUAACAAUGAAGGAUUUUUUUUUUCUGACUCAUCUUCAGAAGACUCCCCCCCUUCUGCGUUUGAAAAUAAAUAUAAUUAGUAACAGGCAGACAUACUGUAUAUAGCCAGCCCUUCCUAUCCGGAGAGUUAUAAUUAAAUGUACAUGCUGUCUGU
Ailuropoda melanoleuca (giant panda) is the source of this 1543-nucleotide long non-coding RNA. RefSeq lists it as uncharacterized. Lineage: Eukaryota; Metazoa; Chordata; Mammalia; Carnivora; Ursidae. The transcript is spliced from 2 exons. The record is from RefSeq and is a predicted model, not a curated record.